Molecule: ribosomal RNA, 316 nt
Filed under: uncultured Chloroflexota bacterium
Lineage: Bacteria; Bacillati; Chloroflexota
Description: bacterial SSU rRNA
Rfam family: Bacterial small subunit ribosomal RNA
Source: RNAcentral
GAUAAACGCUGGCGGCGUGCGUAAUGCAUGCAAGUCGAACGAUCUCGAUUUAUCGGGAUAGUGGCAAACGGGUGAGUAAUGCGUAAGUAACCUGUCCCCGAGUACGGAAUAACUCUGAGAAAUUGGAGCUAAUACCGUAUAAGGUGGUGGGGGUAAAGCCUCAUCAUCAAAGCCUUCGGGCGCUGGGGGAGGGGCUUGCGUCCGAUUAGCUAGUUGGUAGAGUAACGGUUUACCAAGGCGAUGAUCGGUAGCUGGUCUGAGAGGAUGAUCAGCCACACUGGGACUGAGACACGGCCCAGACUCCUACGGGAGGCAG